UCGGUUCACCGAGAAAUGGGAGUGGCGAACGGGUGGGUAACACGUGGGUAACCUACCCAUCAGCGGGGGAUAACACUUGGAAACAGGUGCUAAUACCGCAUAAUUCUUUUCUUCGCCUGGAGGAAAGAUGAAAGACGCUUUUGCGUCACUGAUGGAUGGACCCGCGCUGCAUUAGCUAGUUGGUGGGGUAACGGCUCACCAAGGCCACGAUGCAUAGCCGACCUGAGAGGGUGAUCGGCCACACUGGGACUGAGACACGGCCCAGACUCCUACGGGAGGCAGCAGUAGGGAAUCUUCGGCAAUGGACGGAAGUCUGACCGAGCAACGCCGCGUGAGUGAAGAAGGUUUUCGGAUCGUAAAACUCUGUUGUUAGAGAAGAAUAAGGAUGAGAGUAGAAUGUUCAUCCCUUGACGGUAUCUAACCAGAAAGCCACGGCUAACUACGUGCCAGCAGCCGCGGUAAUACGUAGGUGGCAAGCGUUGUCCGGAUUUAUUGGGCGUAAAGCGAGCGCAGGCGGUUUCUUAAGUCUGAUGUGAAAGCCCCCGGCUUAACCGGGGAGGGUCAUUGGAAACUGGGAGACUUGAGUGCAGAAGAGGAGAGUGGAAUUCCAUGUGUAGCGGUGAAAUGCGUAGAUAUAUGGAGGAACACCAGUGGCGAAGGCGACUCUCUGGUCUGUAACUGACGCUGAGG
RNAcentral lists this ribosomal RNA (690 nucleotides) under uncultured Enterococcus sp. Its description in RNAcentral is "bacterial SSU rRNA". It matches the Rfam family "Bacterial small subunit ribosomal RNA", at positions 75 to 751 of the family's 1533-position model. The record is from RNAcentral. Lineage: Bacteria; Bacillati; Bacillota; Bacilli; Lactobacillales; Enterococcaceae.